AUGCUCACUUCGGCAGCACAUAUACUAAAAUUGCAGUGAUACAGAGAAGAUUAGCAUGGCCCCUGUGUAAGGAUGCCAUGCAAAUUUGUGAAGCGUUCCAUAGUAAA
RNAcentral lists this small nuclear RNA (107 nucleotides) under Physeter macrocephalus (sperm whale). The record is from RNAcentral. Lineage: Eukaryota; Metazoa; Chordata; Mammalia; Artiodactyla; Physeteridae.